This 349-nucleotide unclassified non-coding RNA is filed under the name soil metagenome. Its description in RNAcentral is "partial contains 5.8S ribosomal RNA, internal transcribed spacer 2, and large subunit ribosomal RNA". The stretch from base 1 to 120 matches the Rfam family "5.8S ribosomal RNA", at positions 35 to 154 of the family's 154-position model. The record is from RNAcentral.
GAUGAAGAACGCAGCGAAAUGCGAUACGUAAUGUGAAUUGCAGAAUUCAGUGAAUCAUCGAGUCUUUGAACGCACAUUGCGCCCCCUGGUAUUCCGGGGGGCAUGCCUGUCCGAGCGUCAUUGCUACCCUCAAGCACGGCUUGUGUGUUGGGCCUCCGCCCCCCGGCUCCCGGGGGGCGGGCCCGAAAGGCAGCGGCGGCACCGCGUCCGGUCCUCGAGCGUAUGGGGCUUCGUCACCCGCUCCGUAGGCCCGGCCGGCGCCCGCCGGCGACCCCCCUCAAUCUUUCCAGGUUGACCUCGGAUCAGGUAGGGAUACCCGCUGAACUUAAGCAUAUCAAUAAGCGGAGGA